GCUGUGAUAGCUCAGUUGGUUAGAGUAUGGUGCUGAGAAUGCCAGGCUUGCAUGUUUGAUCCCCAUAUGGGACAACU
This is a non-coding RNA of Podarcis lilfordi (Lilford's wall lizard), 77 nucleotides long. NCBI's taxonomy places the organism in Eukaryota, Metazoa, Chordata, Lepidosauria, Squamata, Lacertidae. The record is from the annotation of a GenBank genome assembly.